GGGCAAGUGGCACAGUGGUAGCGCGCACGCUUCGCAUCUUCUAAGAUUGUGUGAGGUCCAGGGUUCAAUCCCCUGCUUGUCCA
This is a non-coding RNA of Amylostereum chailletii, 83 nucleotides long. NCBI's taxonomy places the organism in Eukaryota, Fungi, Basidiomycota, Agaricomycetes, Russulales, Stereaceae. The record is from the annotation of a GenBank genome assembly.